UACAGAGGGUGCGAGCGUUGUCCGGAAUCACUGGGCGUAAAGGGCGCGUAGGCGGCCCGGUAAGGUUGCGGUGAAAGCCCGGGGCUCAACCCCGGGUCGGCCGUGGCAACUGCUGGGCUGGAGCACAGUAGAGGCGGGUGGAAUUCCGGGUGUAGCGGUGGAAUGCGUAGAGAUCCGGAAGAACACCGGUGGCGAAGGCGGCCCGCUGGGGCUGUUGCUGACGCUGAGGCGCGACAGCGUGGGGAGCAAACAGG
RNAcentral lists this ribosomal RNA (254 nucleotides) under uncultured bacterium. RNAcentral's name for it is "partial 16S ribosomal RNA". It matches the Rfam family "Bacterial small subunit ribosomal RNA", at positions 524 to 776 of the family's 1533-position model. The record is from RNAcentral.